GGACAGUCAUCGCCGAGUCCCCGUACGGCGCGAGCCAGGGGAGCCGGGGACCCGCCCUCCUGCCGCUGCUAUCGCGGCUGGAGGGGCCCAAGUAGUCCCUGGGGUGAAUCGGACGCCCGCGCAGCCGCGAGGGGGCCCGUAGGAGACCUUCCUGCUCCGAACCCGUCAGCUAACCCGGUAGGCGAGAAGGAAGGAAAG
RNAcentral lists this small RNA (198 nucleotides) under Streptomyces viridochromogenes. Its description in RNAcentral is "c-di-AMP sequence". It matches the Rfam family "c-di-AMP riboswitch aptamer (ydaO/yuaA leader)". From Rfam's summary of the family: This family represents a conserved RNA structure found upstream of the ydaO and yuaA genes in Bacillus subtilis and related genes in other bacteria. The ydaO/yuaA element is thought to act as a genetic "off" switch for the ydaO and yuaA genes in its native state. It is believed that the element may be triggered during osmotic shock leading to activation of ydaO, a predicted amino acid transporter gene, and members of the yuaA-yubG operon which code for KtrA and KtrB K+ transporters. Lineage: Bacteria; Bacillati; Actinomycetota; Actinomycetes; Kitasatosporales; Streptomycetaceae. The record is from RNAcentral.